GAAAUCCGCUAAGGAGUGU
This 19-nucleotide small nuclear RNA is filed under the name Arabidopsis thaliana (thale cress). Its description in RNAcentral is "snRNA_00113". Lineage: Eukaryota; Viridiplantae; Streptophyta; Magnoliopsida; Brassicales; Brassicaceae. The record is from RNAcentral.